This 253-nucleotide ribosomal RNA is filed under the name uncultured Blautia sp. Its description in RNAcentral is "partial 16S ribosomal RNA". It matches the Rfam family "Bacterial small subunit ribosomal RNA", at positions 524 to 776 of the family's 1533-position model. Lineage: Bacteria; Bacillati; Bacillota; Clostridia; Lachnospirales; Lachnospiraceae. The record is from RNAcentral.
UACGUAGGGGGCAAGCGUUAUCCGGAUUUACUGGGUGUAAAGGGAGCGUAGACGGCGGUGCAAGCCAGAUGUGAAAGCCCGGGGCUCAACCCCGGGACUGCAUUUGGAACUGUAUGGCUGGAGUGUCGGAGAGGCAGGCGGAAUUCCUAGUGUAGCGGUGAAAUGCUUAGAUAUUACUCAGAACACCGAUUGCGCAGGCAGCUUGCUAAUCCGCAUCUGACGCUGAUGCACGAAAGCGUGGGUAGCGAACAGG